UACGGAGGGCGCAAGCGUUGUUCGGAAUCAUUGGGCGUAAAGCGCGUGUAGGCGGCUUGGCAAGUCGGGUGUGAAAGCCCGGGGCUCAACCCCGGAACUGCAUUCGAAACUGCCUCGCUGGAGUCCCGGAGAGGAAGGCGGAAUUCCCGGUGUAGAGGUGAAAUUCGUAGAUAUCGGGAGGAACACCAGUGGCGAAGGCGGCCUUCUGGACGGUGACUGACGCUGAGACGCGAAAGCGUGGGGAGCAAACAGG
This 253-nucleotide ribosomal RNA is filed under the name uncultured bacterium. RNAcentral's name for it is "partial 16S ribosomal RNA". It matches the Rfam family "Bacterial small subunit ribosomal RNA", at positions 524 to 776 of the family's 1533-position model. The record is from RNAcentral.